This 1943-nucleotide long non-coding RNA is filed under the name Triticum aestivum (bread wheat). RNAcentral describes it as "long non-coding RNA (TAES_LNC025638)". The record is from RNAcentral. Lineage: Eukaryota; Viridiplantae; Streptophyta; Magnoliopsida; Poales; Poaceae.
UUUUUUUGAUAAAACAUGCAAGCAUCAUCGACCACUGACAUGAAAAGGACAAAUAAAAUACUUCCGUUACUUUGAAAAUGACCUCAGGCUCAAAUUCAUACAUAUCAUUAGAUAAGCUUAUCAGAACUGAAUUCCCUGACUAACCAUUUACAUCAUCUCCACACUUCUGCUUCUGUUCUUUCAAUACGGAAUGUUUACGUUGCAUACUGUUGACGCUUUUCAAAUAAGCUAGCAUGUGAAAAGUAGUAGCACCAGUGCAGUAAAAAAGGCCAGCUAGUUACUGAACUGGCCGUGCAUGUACAAAGUACAUAAGCACUGAAUGUUCAACGCCACAUACGCCCCAAACAUUUUCUCUUCUUCUGCCUCUAGUGCGCCCUGAUCGAUCGCUUUAUCAAGAUAGAUACUGCCACAACCUCAUCCACCUCACAAAGUAAAACCUGUCAUCACCGGCAAGACAGCUAAGCAAAGUAAUUCGUUAGUUCUUGAACCAAGAUCCUAAGCUUGGAGAGCCCUUCAAACUGAACCAAAACAAUUGAACCUUCGCCAACAAAUUUUCCAUACAUACAUGCAUACCUAGCUAAUGCACCUGCACUAACAGAAGAACAUAAGAAAACAUCAAUGAAUAACUAUUCAGAAGUCAACAGCUGAGAACCCAGGGAUCUAAAUAAGACGUGUGCACAGAUCCCAUUUUUAUGUCUAGGUAGGCAAUUAUACAAGAAACAAAAUGAGAUGGGUAUGGCUAAAAGCAUAAGAGCAUAGUGCAGAUUCCUCUAACAAAAUACAAAUGCCUAACAAAUUUUCCAUACAUACAUGCAUACCUAGCUAAUGCACCUGCGCUAACAGAAGAACAUAAGAAAACAUCAAUGAAUAACUAUUCAGAAGUCAACAUGGCUGAGAACCCAGAGAUCUAAAUAAGAAGUGUGCACAGAUCCCAUUUUUAUGCCUAGAUAGGCAAUUAUACAAGAAACAAAAUGAGAUGGGUAUGGCUAAAGCAUAAGAGCAUAGUAUAGAUUCCUCUAAGAAAAUACAGAUGCCUAGGUAAGCAAUUCUGAUGCUCUGAUGCGGAGCAUCGGGGACAUCAUCAUGUCAAGAGUUCCUUCGGCGGGUGACUCGUGCGACAUCUACUUCACAUACACAAAGGUGAAUCAUCUCCUAUACACGUGCUCAUUUGACCCCUUCGAGGAUGGUAUACUACUUGACACUCCACUCGUGUGCAUGCAUAGGUAUUGUCGAAACACUACGGACGACGACGAGGAGUGCAAGCGCCAAGGAACAAUUACACCAUCCGCGAGGGAAGCCUGGAAGCGACGACGGAAGAAGACGGAGCUGCUGAAGCUAUAGCGGCCGGACAUCCGGGCCAGAGGCCGGACAUCCGGCGCCAACCCCGGACAUCCGGCGCCUCCCGACAGCCCGGACAUCCGGCAUCUCCCGCGGAAAUCCGGCACCGACGUAUCCAGAGAGCAGCUGAACCUCCACUUCAGCCCGGACAUCCGGCCGCGACCCCGGACAUCCGGCUCGUCCCGAAGCCCCGGACAUCCGGCCCCCAGCCCGGACGUCCGGCACCUGCGUGUGCCUAACCGGGCCAAAGGCCCAUGUAUCCCCUCCUCACUUACUCCUUCGUGGCUCUAGACUAUAUAUACUCCUCCACCUCCUUCUAGUUAGACUAUAUAUAUACUCCUCCACCUUCUUCUAGUUAGGGUUAGUGUUGUGAUAGCUCGUUUGAGAGAUAGAGCUUCGCUCAUCCAUAUCGGAUCUACUCCACGAGAGAGACCGCGGCCCCUCUACGGAGAAGAUCUACCUUGGAUUCAAGACCCCUCACGGGAAGAUCCCCUUGUGGAUUCAAGACCUCCUCACGGAGAAGAACCGGUUACCUCUUGUAUCGUCCGUUGUUGACUUUGGAUCUUGUAUCUCUCUUUGUGUUUCGAGAAUCUAGCACAUGUGUG